AUUGAACGCUGGCGGCAGGCCUAACACAUGCAAGUCGAGCGAGCGGCGGACGGGUGAGUAAUGCCUGGGAAUUGCCCAGUCGAGGGGGAUAACAGUUGGAAACGACUGCUAAUACCGCAUACGGUUGGAUUGCCCAGGUGGGAUUAGCUAGUUGGUGAGGUAAUGGCUCACCAGGGCGACGAUCCCUGGCUGGUCUGAGAGGAUGUCCACCCACCCUGGAACGGGACAACGUCCCAGCCUCCUCCGGGGGGCACCGGGGGGAAAUAUUGAACAAUGGGGGAAACCCUGAGGAGGCCAUGCCGGGUGUGUGAAGAAGGCCUUCGGUUUUUAAAGCCCUUUCAGCGAGGAGGCGUUACUCGCAGAAAAAGCACCGCCUAACUCCGUGCCAGCAGCGGCGUUAUAC
Molecule: ribosomal RNA, 403 nt
Filed under: uncultured bacterium
Lineage: Bacteria
Description: partial 16S ribosomal RNA
Rfam family: Bacterial small subunit ribosomal RNA
Source: RNAcentral